RNAcentral lists this ribosomal RNA (442 nucleotides) under Acanthamoeba genotype T4. RNAcentral describes it as "SSU rRNA". It matches the Rfam family "Eukaryotic small subunit ribosomal RNA", at positions 751 to 1085 of the family's 1831-position model. The record is from RNAcentral. Lineage: Eukaryota; Discosea; Longamoebia; Acanthamoebidae.
UUUACCGUGAAAAAAUUAGAGUGUUCAAAGCAUGCAGAUCCAAUUUUCUGCCACCGAAUACAUUAGCAUGGGGAUAAUAGGAAUAGGACCCUGUCCUCCUAUUUUCAGUUGGUUUUGGCAGCGCGAGGACUAGGGUAAUGAUUAAUAGGGAUAGUUGGGGGCAUUAAUAUUUAAUUGUCAGAGGUGAAAUUCUUGGAUUUAUGAAAGAUUAACUUCUGCGAAAGCAUCUGCCAAGGAUGUUUUCAUUAAUCAAGAACGAAAGUUAGGGGAUCGAAGACGAUCAGAUACCGUCGUAGUCUUAACCAUAAACGAUGCCGACCAGCGAUUAGGAGACGUUGAAUACAAAACACCACCAUCGGUGCGGUCAUCCUUGGCGUUGGUCUUCAAAAGCCAGCGCGGGGGUGGCUUAGCCCGGUGGCACCGGUGAAUGACUCCCCUAGAG